This 30-nucleotide non-coding RNA is filed under the name Mus musculus (house mouse). Lineage: Eukaryota; Metazoa; Chordata; Mammalia; Rodentia; Muridae. The record is from RNAcentral.
UGNGCUGGCCCAUGAUACAAGUCCUGUACU